CGUUGAAACACAGGUUCCCAUACGGUCAACAAAGUUAAGCAACGUCGGGCCUGAUAAGUACUUAGAUGGGUGACCGCUUUGAAAUAUUAGGUAUUGUAAG
Molecule: non-coding RNA, 100 nt
Organism: Acanthosepion pharaonis
Lineage: Eukaryota; Metazoa; Mollusca; Cephalopoda; Sepiida; Sepiidae
Source: the annotation of a GenBank genome assembly